RNAcentral lists this unclassified non-coding RNA (289 nucleotides) under uncultured fungus. Its description in RNAcentral is "sequence contains ITS1". The stretch from base 1 to 105 matches the Rfam family "5.8S ribosomal RNA", at positions 50 to 154 of the family's 154-position model. Lineage: Eukaryota; Fungi. The record is from RNAcentral.
GAACUGCGAUACGCAAUGCGAAAUGCAGAAUCCGCGAGUCAUCAGAUUUUCGAACGCAAUUGGCACUAGGGGCUAAAUACCUCUAGUAUGUCUGUCUCAGCGUUGACUUAAUUAUCCUCUAAAUGUCAUUGCAAAGUAAUUUGCUCUGAUUAAAAAACAGUGGUCUGCAAUCGACCCAACGCAGUAGGCCUUAGGGCACUCGUUGCAAGUUGACUGAGUGAACACAGAGAUUAAGUGUCUUUAAAAAUAAUUAAAACCUGAGAUUGGCAAGAUUACCCGCUGAACUUAA